RNAcentral lists this non-coding RNA (28 nucleotides) under Mus musculus (house mouse). The record is from RNAcentral. Lineage: Eukaryota; Metazoa; Chordata; Mammalia; Rodentia; Muridae.
UCAGGGUGUUCGGCAAGCAUGCUUCUGA